ACUUGGUCUGAGUGCAGUGAUAUUUAAAACUAAUUGAUCACACCAAGUUACAGAUUCCUUUGUUCCUUCUCCACUCCUGCUUCAAUUCACUAGUCUA
This 97-nucleotide non-coding RNA is filed under the name Otolemur garnettii (small-eared galago). The record is from RNAcentral. Lineage: Eukaryota; Metazoa; Chordata; Mammalia; Primates; Galagidae.